UGCCAGACUCCUACGGGAGGCAGCAGUGGGGAAUAUUGGGCAAUGGGCGCAAGCCUGACCCAGCAACGCCGCGUGAAGGAAGAAGGCUUUCGGGUUGUAAACUUCUUUUGACAGGGAAGAGUAGAAGACGGUACCUGUCGAAUAAGCCACGGCUAACUACGUGCCAGCAGCCGCGGUAAUACGUAGGUGGCAAGCGUUGUCCGGAUUUACUGGGUGUAAAGGGCGUGCAGCCGGAGAGACAAGUCAGAUGUGAAAUCCACGGGCUCAACCCGUGAACUGCAUUUGAAACUGUUUCCCUUGAGUGUCGGAGAGGUAAUCGGAAUUCCUUGUGUAGCGGUGAAAUGCGUAGAUAUAAGGAAGAACACCAGUGGCGAAGGCGGCCGCCUGGCCUGUUGCUGACGCUGAGGCACGAAAGCGUGGGGAGCAAAUAGGAUUAGAUACCCCGGUACC
Molecule: ribosomal RNA, 450 nt
Filed under: uncultured bacterium
Lineage: Bacteria
Description: bacterial SSU rRNA
Rfam family: Bacterial small subunit ribosomal RNA
Source: RNAcentral